Molecule: ribosomal RNA, 468 nt
Filed under: uncultured bacterium
Lineage: Bacteria
Description: partial 16S ribosomal RNA
Rfam family: Bacterial small subunit ribosomal RNA
Source: RNAcentral
GAUGAACGCUGGCGGCGUGCUUAACACAUGCAAGUCGAACGGAAAGGCCCAAGCUUGCUUGGUUACUCGAGUGGCGAACGGGUGAGUAACACGUGGGUUAUCUGCCCUGCACUUCGGGAUAAGCCUGGGAAACUGGGUCUAAUACCGGAUAGGACGAUCGUUUGGAUGCCAUUGUUGAAAGUUUUUUCGGUGUGGGAUGAGCUCGCGGCCUGUCAGCUUUUUUGUGGGGUAAUGGCCUACCAAGGCGUCGUCGGGUGGCCGGCCGGAGAGGGGGUAAGGCCACACUGUGGCUGAGAGACGGCCCAGACUCCCACGGGAGGCAGAAGUGGGGAAUAUUGAACAAUGGGCGCAAGCCUGAUGCAGCGACGCCGCGUGGGGGAUGACGGCAUUCGGGUUGUAAACACCUUUCGCUAGGGACGAAGCGUUUUUGUGACGGUACCUGGAGAAGAAGCACCGGCUAACUACGUG